Molecule: long non-coding RNA, 399 nt
Organism: Branchiostoma belcheri (Belcher's lancelet)
Lineage: Eukaryota; Metazoa; Chordata; Leptocardii; Amphioxiformes; Branchiostomatidae
Exons: 4
Source: RefSeq, a predicted model, not a curated record
AGACAGAUUCGACAGGCACUGCAGACGACAUCAGCCUGUUGUAAAAAAUCAUGUCAUGUUGGAGACAGAGAAAGGUAUUUCCUAGAGAUGGGGAGGGUCUGCAGGGGGGAUGCUGACAACGUUGAAUGCAGGAAGUUGUCAGAGGAUGAUCCGGACUUGUCAACAGCCAUUGCAAUCACAGAUUUGGGUGCUGAGAGAAACUGUCUAAAUGGGCUUGAGGUGACAGGAGCCGACCCAGGGUCAAACGCAGACAAAGGCAAACAUCCACCUCGGUAAACAUCGUGGAGGUCUGAAGACACAGAGAAGAUGUCCCUGGAGGAGUCGGUAGGCCCAGGGAAGGACAACCUUUGCUAACCGAUUUGAAGUAAAUUCGUCAAUAGUCAUUGUUUACUUCGUAUA